CCCUUUCCGGUUGAUCCUGGCGGAGGCCACUGCUAUCGGAGUUCGAUUAAGCCAUGCGAGUCGAGAGGUGUGAGACCUCGGCAUACUGCUCAGUAACACGUGGACAACCUACCCUAAGGAGGGGGAUAACCCCGGGAAACUGGGGAUAAUACCCCAUAGACUAUGGAUGCUGGAAUGCUUUGUAGUUGAAAGGUCCGCCGCUUCAGGAUGGGUCUGCGGCCGAUUAGGUUGUUGUUGGGGUAACGGCCCAACAAGCCUGUAAUCGGUACGGGUUGUGGGAGCAAGAGCCCGGAGAUGGAUUCUGAGACACGAAUCCAGGCCCUACGGGGCGCAGCAGGCGCGAAAACUUUACAAUGCGAGCAAUCGUGAUAAGGGAACUCCGAGUGCCCGUAAAAUCGGGCUGUCCGCCAGUGUAAAUAACUGGUGAAGAAAGGGCCGGGCAAGACCGGUGCCAGCCGCCGCGGUAAUACCGGCGGCUCGAGUGGUGGCCACUAUUACUGGGCUUAAAGCGUUCGUAGCUGGUCUGUUAAGUCUCUGGGGAAAUCUUCCGGCUUAACCGGAAGGCGUCUCAGGGAUACUGGCAGACUAGGGACCGGAAGAGGUGAGAGGUACUCCAGGGGUAGGAGUGAAAUCCUGUAAUCCUUGGGGGACCACCUGUGGCGAAGGCGUCUCACCAGAACGGCUCCGACAGUGAGGAACGAAAGCUGGGGGAGCAAACCGGAUUAGAUACCCGGGUAGUCCCAGCUGUAAACGAUGCGCGUUAGGUGUAUCGGUGACCACGAGUCACCGAGGUGCCGAAGAGAAAUCGUGAAACGUGCCGCCUGGGAAGUACGGUCGCAAGGCUGAAACUUAAAGGAAUUGGCGGGGGAGCACCACAACGGGUGGAGCCUGCGGUUUAAUCGGACUCAACGCCGGGAAACUCACCGGACAAGACAGCUGAAUGAUAGUCGGGCUGAAGACUCUACUUGACUAGCUGAGAGGAGGUGCAUGGCCGUCGUCAGUUCGUACUGUGAAGCAUCCUGUUAAGUCAGGCAACGAGCGAGACCCAAA
This 1050-nucleotide ribosomal RNA is filed under the name uncultured archaeon. RNAcentral describes it as "bacterial SSU rRNA". It matches the Rfam family "Archaeal small subunit ribosomal RNA", at positions 1 to 1056 of the family's 1478-position model. The record is from RNAcentral.